GAUGAACGCUGGCGGCGUGCCUAAUACAUGCAAGUCGAGCGAACAGAUGAGGAGCUUGCUCCUCUGACGUUAGCGGCGGACGGGUGAGUAACACGUGGAUAACCUACCUAUAAGACUGGGAUAACUUCGGGAAACCGGAGCUAAUACCGGAUAAUAUAUUGAACCGCAUGGUUCAAUAGUGAAAGACGGUUUUGCUGUCACUUAUAGAUGGAUCCGCGCCGCAUUAGCUAGUUGGUAGGGUAACGGCUUACCAAGGCAACGCUGCGUAGCCGACCUGAGAGGGUGAUCGGCCGCACUGGAGCUGAGACACGGUCCAGGCGCCUACGGGAGGCAGCAGUAGGGAAUCUUCCGCAAUGGGCGAAAGCCUGGCGGAGCGACGCCGCGUGAGUGAUGAAGGUCUUCGGAUCGUGAAGCUCUGUUAUUAGGGAAGAACAAAUGUGUAAGUAACUAUACACGGCUUGACGGUACCUAAUCAGAAAGCCACGGCUAACUACGUG
This 497-nucleotide ribosomal RNA is filed under the name uncultured bacterium. Its description in RNAcentral is "partial 16S ribosomal RNA". It matches the Rfam family "Bacterial small subunit ribosomal RNA", at positions 28 to 507 of the family's 1533-position model. The record is from RNAcentral.